RNAcentral lists this ribosomal RNA (429 nucleotides) under uncultured bacterium. RNAcentral's name for it is "bacterial SSU rRNA". It matches the Rfam family "Bacterial small subunit ribosomal RNA", at positions 30 to 456 of the family's 1533-position model. The record is from RNAcentral.
AUUGAACGCUGGCGGUAUGCUUAACACAUGCAAGUCGAACGGUAACAGGCAAAGCUUGCUUUGCGCUGACGAGUGGCGGACGGGUGAGUAACGCGUGGGAAUCUGCCUUAUAGUGGGGGAUAGCCCGGAGAAAUCCGGAUUAAUACCGCAUAAGCCCUAAGGGGGAAAGCCGGGGAUCUUCGGACCUGGCGCUAUUAGAUGAGCCCGCGUUAGAUUAGCUAGUUGGUGGGGUAAAGGCCUACCAAGGCGACGAUCUAUAGCUGGUCUGAGAGGACGAUCAGCCACACUGGGACUGAGACACGGCCCAGACUCCUACGGGAGGCAGCAGUGGGGAAUAUUGCACAAUGGGCGCAAGCCUGAUGCAGCAAUACCGCGUGUGGAAGAAGGCCUGCGGGUUGUAAAGCACUUUCAAUCGUGAAGAAAUGUUCG